This 553-nucleotide ribosomal RNA is filed under the name Bacillus licheniformis. RNAcentral's name for it is "bacterial SSU rRNA". It matches the Rfam family "Bacterial small subunit ribosomal RNA", at positions 56 to 591 of the family's 1533-position model. The record is from RNAcentral. Lineage: Bacteria; Bacillati; Bacillota; Bacilli; Caryophanales; Bacillaceae.
UGCAGUCGAGCGGACCGACGGGAGCUUGCUCCCUUAGGUCAGCGGCGGACGGGUGAGUAACACGUGGGUAACCUGCCUGUAAGACUGGGAUAACUCCGGGAAACCGGGGCUAAUACCGGAUGCUUGAUUGAACCGCAUGGUUCAAUCAUAAAAGGUGGCUUUUAGCUACCACUUACAGAUGGACCCGCGGCGCAUUAGCUAGUUGGUGAGGUAACGGCUCCCCAAGGCGACGAUGCGUAACCGACCUGAGAGGGUGAUCGGCCACACUGGGACUGAAACACGGCCCAGACUCCUACGGGAGGGAGCAGUAGGGAAUCUUCCGCAAUGGACGAAAGUCUGACGGAGCAACGCCGCGUGAGUGAUGAAGGUUUUCGGAUCGUAAAACUUUGUUGUUAGGGAAAAACAAGUACCGUUCGAAUAGGGCGGGACCUUGACGGUACCUAACCAGAAAGCCACGGCUAACUACGUGCCAGCAGCCGCGGUAAUACGUAAGUGGCAAGCGUUGUCCGGAAUUAUUGGGCGUAAAGCGCGCGCAGGGGGUUUCUUUAGUCUG